CUACGGGCCGCUGCAGUGAGGAAUAUUGCACAAUGGGGGGAACCCUGAUGCAGCAACGCCGCGUGGAGGAUGACGCAUUUCGGUGUGUAAACUCCUUUUAUAUGUCAAGAAAAUGACGGUAGCAUAUGAAUAAGCACCGGCUAACUCCGUGCCAGCAGCCGCGGUAAUACGGAGGGUGCAAGCGUUACUCGGAAUCACUGGGCGUAAAGGACGCGUAGGCGGGUUGGAAAGUCAGGUGUGAAAUCCUACAGCUUAACUGUAGAACUGCACUUGAAACUUCUAAUCUAGAGUAUGGGAGGGGGAGAUGGAAUUAGUGGUGUAGGGGUAAAAUCCGUAGAUAUCACUAGGAAUACCUAUUGCGAAGGCGAUCUCCUGGAACAUUACUGACGCUAAGGCGUGAAAGCGUGGGGAGCAAACAGGAUUAGAUACCCUAGUAGUC
Molecule: ribosomal RNA, 439 nt
Filed under: uncultured bacterium
Lineage: Bacteria
Description: partial 16S ribosomal RNA
Rfam family: Bacterial small subunit ribosomal RNA
Source: RNAcentral